RNAcentral lists this long non-coding RNA (441 nucleotides) under Setaria viridis. RNAcentral's name for it is "long non-coding RNA (SVIR_LNC007220)". The record is from RNAcentral. Lineage: Eukaryota; Viridiplantae; Streptophyta; Magnoliopsida; Poales; Poaceae.
AGGUGUUCUAUAUUCCAAGAGUUUGAUACUUGUUCUCCUGAGAGCUCUUGUAGUCUGUAAGAUCCGGGUCCUGUAACCUUGGAUACAAUGUAAGGACCUUCCCAUGGUGAAUUGAGUUUAUGCAAUCCUGACGUGUCUUGGAUUCGUUUGAGGACCAUGUCGCCUAAGUUGAAAGAUCGUUCUUUGACGUUGGGGUCGUGGUAACACCUUAACCCAUCAAGGUAUCUGGCAGAUUGUACUAGCACUGUGCAUCUUGCUUCUUCUAGACUGUCUAGAUCUGUUCACCUUGUUUCUUCUGCCAUUUCUUCGUCGUAUUGUUCGACUGAGGGAGAUUGCCACAUGAUGUCUGCGGGUAAUAUAGCUUCUAAGCCAUAUACGAGGAAAUAGGGAGAGGGCCCAGUAGUCUUGCAUGGUUGGGUUCGUAGUCCCCAUAGAGCAUUG